This 227-nucleotide long non-coding RNA is filed under the name Manihot esculenta (cassava). RNAcentral describes it as "long non-coding RNA (MESC_LNC001532)". The record is from RNAcentral. Lineage: Eukaryota; Viridiplantae; Streptophyta; Magnoliopsida; Malpighiales; Euphorbiaceae.
GUAUGAGGUAUCCCUUUUAUUACAUGAUCAAAAAUGUUUUAUAAUGUUCAUGAAAGCCAACUCAUCUCAUGUUGUAUCGCCCGUUGGGGCAUUGAUGAGAUCCCACAGAGGGAUCACGAUUAUGAUCAUGACUAUGUACAUGUAUGUUCAGGUUGAGUUGGAUGUUUGAAGGAAAAGUUUUAAAAUUUUUAUGUAUGUUGUUGAUCAUGUAUGGGAUUAAACAGGUU